UACAACAUAGCGUUAAUGCAGUGGAUCCCAUCAGAAAUCUGCAGAUAAGCGUGCUCAAGCUAGAGUAGUACUAUGAUGGGUGACCACCUAGGAAGUCUUAGUGUUUUAC
Picea glauca (white spruce) is the source of this 109-nucleotide non-coding RNA. The record is from Rfam. NCBI's taxonomy places the organism in Eukaryota, Viridiplantae, Streptophyta, Pinopsida, Pinales, Pinaceae.